This 74-nucleotide transfer RNA is filed under the name Candidatus Alcyoniella australis. Its description in RNAcentral is "tRNA-Gln". It matches the Rfam family "tRNA". Rfam says of the family: Transfer RNA (tRNA) molecules are approximately 80 nucleotides in length. Their secondary structure includes four short double-helical elements and three loops (D, anti-codon, and T loops). The record is from RNAcentral. Lineage: Bacteria; Candidatus Lernaellota; Candidatus Lernaellaia; Candidatus Lernaellales; Candidatus Alcyoniellaceae.
UCUGGGGUCGUCCAACGGUAGGACGCGGGACUCUGACUCCCGUUAUCGAGGUUCGAAUCCCCGCCCCAGAGCCA